ACACAUGCAGUCGAACGAUGAUGCCCAGCUUGCUGGGUUGAUUAGUGGCGAACGGGUGAGUAAUACGUGAGUAACCUGCCCUUGACUCUGGGAUAAGCCUGGGAAACUGGGUCUAAUACUGGAUACUACCUUUCAUCGCAUGGUGGGGGGUGGAAAGGGUUUUACUGGUUUUGGAUGGGCUCACGGCCUAUCAGCUUGUUGGUGGGGUAAUGGCUCACCAAGGCGACGACGGGUAGCCGGCCUGAGAGGGUGACCGGCCACACUGGGACUGAGACACGGCCCAGACUCCUACGGGAGGCAGCAGUGGGGAAUAUUGCACAAUGGGCGAAAGCCUGAUGCAGCGACGCCGCGUGAGGGAUGACGGCCUUCGGGUUGUAAACCUCUUUCAGUAGGGAAGAAGCGAAAGUGACGGUACCUGCAGAAGAAGCGCCGGCUAACUACGUGCCAGCAGCCGCGGUAAUACGUAGGGCGCAAGCGUUGUCCGGAAUUAUUGGGCGUAAAGAGCUCGUAGGCGGUUUGUCGCGUCUGCUGUGAAAGCCCGGGGCUCAACCCCGGGUCUGCAGUGGGUACGGGCAGACUAGAGUGCAGUAGGGGAGACUGGAAUUCCUGGUGUAGCGGUGAAAUGCGCAGAUAUCAGGAGGAACACCGAUGGCGAAGGCAGGUCUCUGGGCUGUUACUGACGCUGAGGAGCGAAAGCAUGGGGAGCGAACAGGAUUAGAUACCCUGGUAGUCCAUGCCGUAAACGUUGGGCACUAGGUGUGGGGGACAUUCCACGUUUUCCGCGCCGUAGCUAACGCAUUAAGUGCCCCGCCUGGGGAGUACGGCCGCAAGGCUAAAACUCAAAGGAAUUGACGGGGGCCCGCACAAGCGGCGGAGCAUGCGGAUUAAUUCGAUGCAACGCGAAGAACCUUACCAAGGCUUGACAUUCACCGGACCGCCUCAGAGAUGGGGUUUCCCUUCGGGGCUGGUGGACAGGUGGUGCAUGGUUGUCGUCAGCUCGUGUCGUGAGAUGUUGGGUUAAGUCCCGCAACGAGCGCAACCCUCGUUCUAUGUUGCCAGCACGUGAUGGUGGGGACUCAUAGGAGACUGCCGGGGUCAACUCGGAGGAAGGUGGGGAUGACGUCAAAUCAUCAUGCCCCUUAUGUCUUGGGCUUCACGCAUGCUACAAUGGCCGGUACAAAGGGUUGCGAUACUGUGAGGUGGAGCUAAUCCCAAAAAGCCGGUCUCAGUUCGGAUUGAGGUCUGCAACUCGACCUCAUGAAGUCGGAGUCGCUAGUAAUCGCAGAUCAGCAACAAUGCGGUGAAUACGUUCCCGGGCCUUGUACACACCGCCCGUCAAGUCACGAAAGUUGGUAACACCCGAAGCCGGUGGCCUAACCCCUUGUGGGAGGAGCCGUCGAAGGUGGAAC
RNAcentral lists this ribosomal RNA (1409 nucleotides) under Kocuria sp. HY6(2010). Its description in RNAcentral is "16S ribosomal RNA". It matches the Rfam family "Bacterial small subunit ribosomal RNA". Lineage: Bacteria; Bacillati; Actinomycetota; Actinomycetes; Micrococcales; Micrococcaceae. The record is from RNAcentral.